This 486-nucleotide ribosomal RNA is filed under the name uncultured bacterium. RNAcentral describes it as "partial 16S ribosomal RNA". It matches the Rfam family "Bacterial small subunit ribosomal RNA", at positions 28 to 507 of the family's 1533-position model. The record is from RNAcentral.
GACGAACGCUGGCGGCGUGCUUAACACAUGCAAGUCGAACGCUGAAGACCUGGCUUUUGUUGGGUUGGAUGAGUGGCGAACGGGUGAGUAACACGUGAGUAACCUGCCCUCUUCUUUGGGAUAACGCCCGGAAACGGGUGCUAAUACUGGAUAUUCACUGAUCUUCGCAUGGGGGUUGGUGGAAAGGUUUGUUCUGGUGGGGGAUGGGCUCGCGGCCUAUCAGCUUGUUGGUGGGGUGAUGGCCUACCAAGGCUUUGACGGGCAGCCGGCCUGAGAGGGUGACCGGUCACAUUGGGACUGAGAUACGGCCCAGACUCCUACGGGAGGCAGCAGUGGGGAAUAUAGCACAAUGGGCGAAAGCCUGAUGCAGCGACGCCGCGUGAGGGAUGGAGGCCUUCGGGUUGUAAACCUCUUUCGCUCAUGGUCAAGCCGCAACUGUGGGUUGUGGUGAGGGUAGUGGGUAAAGAAGCGCCGGCUAACUACGUG